This is a long non-coding RNA of Athene cunicularia (burrowing owl), 845 nucleotides long. RefSeq lists it as uncharacterized. The record is from RefSeq and is a predicted model, not a curated record. NCBI's taxonomy places the organism in Eukaryota, Metazoa, Chordata, Aves, Strigiformes, Strigidae. The transcript is spliced from 3 exons.
AGCCUGCUGAACGUUGCAGCUAGUCUUUAUCGACUACGUUAAUUAAUAGAACUAUGUUUGAUACGUUUCCUACUAUAAAAGGAUAUUACUGUCCUUUUCUUAAUUUUUAGAUGUUAUUUUAUUAUUAACAACUACUUUGCUUGCAGCCACACUGAGAAGUGUUGGGAAGAAUACUGAAAUCCUGAGUUUAGAACAGUUGGAAGGGUAUACUUUUCCCCCUGCCACCCCAUGAUAGGUGGAUAAAGUUUAUCAUAAGGAAGAAUUUGGUUAUUUGGUGUGUUUUUAUAAAAGCAAACUGAUAUUCUUGAGGGUAAAUCUUUGCAUGAUUACGUAUGGUGGAAGGCACUGAAACACAAACUUAUUUAGGUACUAUUAAAAGAAAAUAGUGUGGAGGGAGGUAGGGGAUUUUUAACCUAAUGUCCCUUGAUGUGGUAGCUUGUAACACACUUUCCAGGUUGUACAGACUGUCAGCUGCUUCUUGGGAGCUCACAGACAGGGGGGAGGCUGCCGGCUGGUUGUUGGCUGUUGAAGGGCCACAGCUCCUGUCCUGCUCCUGGCCGUGUGAUGGAGUGUCCACGGCUGGUGACUUAAGGCUGCUGCAGGUUUAAUGGAGGGGGAAGCAGACAGAUGCUUGUGAGUGCCCCAUGGCUGCAGCUGCCUCAGUUCAUUCAUUUAUUGCCAAUUGUAACUUGGAAGCAUUCUUUAGGUCAGUUCAUCUUCUGGGACCCAUCCCUGCCUUCUGGUUAAGGAAUCCAUGCACACAUACAGGAUGACUCAACAGUGGGAUGGAUGUUCCGAUACCAGAAAGGUGCUGGUAACUUGACAGGACUUUCCACAUUCUUUGG